AUUGAACGCUGGCGGCAUGCUUUACACAUGCAAGUCGAACGGCAGCGGGGAGGAGCUUGCUUCUCUGCCGGCGAGUGGCGAACGGGUGAGUAAUACAUCGGAACGUGUCGAGAAGAGGGGGAUAACCACCCGAAAGGGUGGCUAAUACCGCAUAAAUUCUGAGGAAGAAAGCUGGGGACCUAGGAAUAGGCCUAGCGCUUUUUGAGCGGCCGAUGUCGGAUUAGCUAGUUGGUGAGGUAAAGGCCCACCAAGGCGAAGAUCUGUAGCGGGUCUGAGAGGAUGAUCCGCCACACUGGGACUGAGACACGGCCCAGACUCCUACGGGAGGCAGCAGUGGGAAUUUUGGACAAUGGGGGCAACCCUGAUCCAGCCAUGCCGCGUGUAUGAAGAAGGCCUUAGGGUUGUAAAGUACUUUUGUUAGGGAAGAAAAGUCAGCUGUGAAUAAUGGCUGAUACUGACGGUACCUAAAGAAUAAGCACCGGCUAACUACGUG
Molecule: ribosomal RNA, 493 nt
Filed under: uncultured bacterium
Lineage: Bacteria
Description: partial 16S ribosomal RNA
Rfam family: Bacterial small subunit ribosomal RNA
Source: RNAcentral